UACAGAGGGGGCAAGCGUUGUUCGGCAUUACUGGGCGUAAAGGGCGCGUAGGCGGCCUGCUAAGUCGAACGUGAAAUCCCUGGGCUCAACCCAGGAACUGCGUCCGAUACUGGUUGGCUUGAAUCCGGGAGAGGGAUGUGGAAUUCCAGGUGUAGCGGUGAAAUGCGUAGAUAUCUGGAGGAACACCGGUGGCGAAGGCGACAUCCUGGACCGGUAUUGACGCUGAGGCGCGAAAGCCAGGGGAGCAAACGGG
This 253-nucleotide ribosomal RNA is filed under the name uncultured bacterium. RNAcentral describes it as "partial 16S ribosomal RNA". It matches the Rfam family "Bacterial small subunit ribosomal RNA", at positions 524 to 776 of the family's 1533-position model. The record is from RNAcentral.